This 76-nucleotide transfer RNA is filed under the name Verrucomicrobia bacterium ADurb.Bin474. RNAcentral's name for it is "tRNA-Arg". It matches the Rfam family "tRNA". Rfam says of the family: Transfer RNA (tRNA) molecules are approximately 80 nucleotides in length. The record is from RNAcentral. RNAcentral also lists the same sequence under 2 other names. Lineage: Bacteria; Pseudomonadati; Verrucomicrobiota.
GUCCCCAUAGUUCAAUAGGAUAGAACCGCAGUUUCCUAAACUGUUAAUCCGAGUUCGAGUCUCGGUGGGGGCACCA